UAACGGGAUAGAGUAACUUGGUUAACUCAUUAGGCUCAUGACCUAAAACUACAGGUUCAAACCCUGUUCCCGUAAA
This 76-nucleotide transfer RNA is filed under the name Gloiopeltis furcata. RNAcentral's name for it is "tRNA-Met". It matches the Rfam family "tRNA". Rfam says of the family: Transfer RNA (tRNA) molecules are approximately 80 nucleotides in length. Their secondary structure includes four short double-helical elements and three loops (D, anti-codon, and T loops). Lineage: Eukaryota; Rhodophyta; Florideophyceae; Gigartinales; Endocladiaceae. The record is from RNAcentral.